Long non-coding RNA from Hyla sarda, 959 nucleotides. RefSeq lists it as uncharacterized. The record is from RefSeq and is a predicted model, not a curated record. NCBI's taxonomy places the organism in Eukaryota, Metazoa, Chordata, Amphibia, Anura, Hylidae. The transcript is spliced from 4 exons.
AACUUCAACAGACGAUUUCCUCUGACUCGUGCUCCGUGUCUUGAAUACCCUCCUCCUUUGGUGAUGUGGAACACAGGGAUUGUUAAUGCCCUGGUGUCUACUCAUGCUGCUGCCAACUCCAGGAUGUGCCAUUCAGCCGUACGAAUUUCCGUGCCAUAUCAGGAGGAUACCCGGACAUCGGGAUUCACUGCGCAGACUUCAAUAUCGAGCCGGUAGCCCAGUCGUAGCAGCCUGCAAGACGGAGCCUAGAUCCAACAAGGCUACCAUCCCGGGACCUCCAACGCUAGCGGUGCGUAAUCUCUGCUGACACCUCUGUCCAUGAUGAAUACAUCGAAAAUGUUACCUAAUCCACUCCUCCACCCACUGAUGCAAGUCCACCUGCCUCACCGAUGCCAGCUAAAUACAAGUCGAUGGGUCCCGAUGACAUCAUGACAGCCAUAGCAGAUGCCUCCUCACUGCGUGACAAGAUGACACCAAGCCGCUGCAGAAGCCACCUGUCUCUCCCCUCCCCUCUAUCUCUCUAUCUCUAUUUCUCCAUUCCCUUACAGGUCUCACAGCCCUUCCAUGAAACAUUCCAAGUAAUAUCCAGAUGACCACCAGAUCGGAUGACAGCCCGAACUGUCAAAGUUAAAGUCUGAUACCGGCACCCUGACAGCGCUUAAAGACCUCCUUCUUCAUGAUUGGUCGCCAAAACACCUCCUUCUUCACGAUUGGUCGCCGCCCGGACCUGCCCAGCAGCGAUUGGUCAUAUUCUUCAAAAAAGAUUUGCCGCCGAGGCCUCCAGGGAACACCCGGAGAGGAUAUACACGUCUCCUCUCCGAUUGGCCAACACCCGGACCAUCCCAGCAGCGAUUGGCUGACAUUUUUGAAAGACACCUUACCGCCACCAGCGGCAGAGACUUGGAACCGGGACUUAUACGUCCCCCCUCUGAUUGGCUCACUCGAUAUCACGGACAGCC